UGGUUCUGGCAUNGAUGAAGAACGCAGCGAAAUGCGAUAAGUAAUGUGAAUUGCAGAAUUUAGUGAAUCAUCGAAUCUUUGAACGCACAUUGCGCCCUCUGGUAUUCUGGGGGGCAUGCCUGUUCGAGCGUCAUUACAACCCUCAAGCUCUGCUUGGUAUUAGAUCAAACCUGUUACAGGCAGAUCGAAAAAAUAGUGGCUUUGCCUGUUGGCUUCAAGCGUAGUAAUUCUUCUCGCUUUUGAGUGCCAAUAGCGUAUCUGCCAAAAGACACACUUCUUAGGUUGACCUCGGAUCAGGUAGGGAUACCCGCUGA
Molecule: unclassified non-coding RNA, 314 nt
Filed under: uncultured fungus
Lineage: Eukaryota; Fungi
Description: partial contains 5.8S ribosomal RNA and internal transcribed spacer 2
Rfam family: 5.8S ribosomal RNA (bases 1-133)
Source: RNAcentral